CUAGUACAUAUUGCAGGCCAUUUUUUUUCCCACAGUGGUCUCUUCUCACUCAGGAUCCUUGGAUCCUUUAGACUGUUUCAGGUUUUCUCAUGGAUUUCAUCACCGACCCCAUACAGGACUCGCUGCCCCUCCCAUACGGAUGUCCCAGCCGGACACCACCGCCUUACAUGCAGAACUCUGCAAACUCAGAGACAAGGGUGCAAUCAAACCCUCUUCAUCCCACCUCAGAUU
This is a non-coding RNA of Pelobates cultripes (western spadefoot toad), 231 nucleotides long. The record is from the annotation of a GenBank genome assembly. Lineage: Eukaryota; Metazoa; Chordata; Amphibia; Anura; Pelobatidae.